This 1395-nucleotide unclassified non-coding RNA is filed under the name uncultured fungus. RNAcentral describes it as "sequence contains 18S rRNA gene, ITS1, 5.8S rRNA gene, ITS2, 28S rRNA gene". The stretch from base 492 to 1395 matches the Rfam family "Eukaryotic large subunit ribosomal RNA", at positions 1 to 961 of the family's 3401-position model. The record is from RNAcentral. Lineage: Eukaryota; Fungi.
GGAAGGAUCAUUACUGCUUGCUCAUGGCCGCCUGGAGGGAAACCCCUUGGCGGUACGGCAACACCCACCCUUGACUACAUAUACCUUUCGUUAUUUCCUCGGCAGGGCAACCCGCCGCUGGGACAAUCAAACCCUCUUGUAUCAAGCAUCAAAACUUCUGAAACAAACCUAAAUAUCACAACUUUCAACAAUGGAUCUCUUGGUUCUGGCAUCGAUGAAGAACGCAGCGAAAUGCGAUAAGUAGUGUGAAUUGCAGACUUUAGUGAAUCAUCGAAUCUUUGAACGCACAUUGCGCCCUUGGUAUUCCAUUGGGCAUGCCUGUUCGAGCGUCAUUUACACCCUCAAGCUCUGCUUGGUGUUGGGCGUCUGUCCCCGCUUCACGCGAGGACUCGCCCCAAAUCCAUUGGCAGCGACAUCGUCGGCUUCUCGCGCAGCACAUCGCGCAUGAGAAGGUUCCCGACGGCUCGCGAUCAUCAAGAAAUCCCACAGUUUGACCUCGAAUCAGGUAGGGAUACCGCUGAACUUAAGCAUAUCAAUAAGCGGAGGAAAAGAAACCAACAGGGAUUGCCCUAGUAACGGCGAGUGAAGCGGCAAAAGCUCAAAUUUGAAAUCUGGCCUUCUAUGGAGGUCGAGUUGUAAUUUGCAGAGGGCGCUUUGGCGUCGGCAGCGGUCUAAGUUCCUUGGAACAGGACGUCACAGAGGUGAGAAUCCGUACGUGGUCGCCUGCCUUCGCCGUGUAAAGCCCUUCGACGAGUCGAGUUGUUUGGGAAUGCAGCUCUAAAUGGGAGGUAAAUUUCUCCUAAAGCUAAAUACUGGCCAGAGACCGAUAGCGCACAAGUAGAGUGAUCGAAAGAUGAAAAGUACUUUGGAAAGAGAGUCAAAAAGCACGUGAAAUUGUUGAAAGGGAAGCGCUUGCAGCCAGACUUGUCCGCGUUGUUCUCUUCCGUGGGCAGGCCAGCAUCAGUUUGGGCGAUCGGAUAAAGGCCUCUGUCACGUAUCACCUUCGGGUGACUUAUAGGGAGGUGUAAUGCGAUCAGCCUGGACUGAGGUCCGCGCAUCUGCUAGGAUGCUGGCGUAAUGGCUGUAAGCGGCCGUCUUGAAACACGGACCAAGGAGUCUAACAUCUAUGCGAGUGUUUGGGUGUCAAGCCGGGCGCGCAAUGAAAGUGAACGGAGGUGGGAACCUCUCGGGGUGCACCAUCGACCGAUCUGAAGUCUUCGGAUGGAUUUGAGUAAGAGCAUAGCUGUUGGACCGAAAGAUGGUGAACUAUGCUUGAAUAGGGUGAAGCCAGAGGAAACUCUGGUGGAGCUCGCAGCGGUUCUGACGUGCAAAUCGAUCGUCAAAUUUGGCAUAGGGGCGAAAGACUAAUCGAACUAUCUAGUAGCUGGUUCCUGC